AAAGCACACUGAUAAUGGAUAUUGCCUUCUUUUCAGCACCAAUGGCCAUUUUGAGUCACUUGGUGACAUGAUGAUUCGAGGAGCAUGACCGGCAAACCUACCUUCAGUUUUAACUUAUGGUCUGGUAUUCCUGGGGACGUUAAGGUGUUGAGGAGCUCAGUAGGCUGCAUGUUCAUCAUGAUGUUGGUAUUUGUCAUUGCCUUGCACACUGUGUCCAGGCUUAGGCAUGCAAGUGCAUUUGGUGAUGACUACUAAUGGACAUUGUCACAUACAGUACAUCUGGAGAUUAAUGUUG
Long non-coding RNA from Triticum dicoccoides, 295 nucleotides. RefSeq lists it as uncharacterized. Lineage: Eukaryota; Viridiplantae; Streptophyta; Magnoliopsida; Poales; Poaceae. The transcript has 3 exons. The record is from RefSeq and is a predicted model, not a curated record.